AGAGUUUGAUCAUGGCUCAGGACGAACGCUGGCGGCGUGCCUAAUACAUGCAAGUCGAGCGGGAUCCUUCGGGGUCCAGCGGCGGACGGGUGAGUAACACGUGGGCAACCUGCCUGUAAGACCGGGAUAACUGCCGGAAACGGCGGCUAAGACCGGAUAGUAUACUUUGGGGCAUCCCGGGGUAUGGAAAUGCGGGGCAA
Molecule: ribosomal RNA, 200 nt
Filed under: uncultured bacterium
Lineage: Bacteria
Description: partial 16S ribosomal RNA
Rfam family: Bacterial small subunit ribosomal RNA
Source: RNAcentral